AGUAUCACUGUAAAGAUUUUGAUUCAUUAAUUUGAAUGUAAACCUAUAUUAAUGUAUAUGAAUGUCUGGGUAACUAUCUUCUUGUUGUUGUUGUCAUCAUCAGAGUUUACUGCGGCGGUUCAUCAAAAGGGAACUCCUACAGGACCAAACCCCCCUGCAGCUGAUUAAAUUGGACAUCUCUGAGGAGAAGAACUGGGUCUCCCUCAAAAGGGUAGAUAUAGGCUUGGGGGCUGAAUCUGCCAUCAAGGUGAUGUCAUCAUUCAGCAAUUCACAUCCUUUCUCUCGGUCGUGGGCAGAGAAGAAGAAUUUGUUUCCUUCCAACCCCUGAGGCAGCGUCUGGAUGUCUUUCUCCACUCCAAACUCUGCACGUCCCACCCUGACCUGCUAAAGUUCUGCCAAAGUGCUCUCCUCCUGUCCCAUGGACAAGCCACAGUGGAGAGAGGCUUCUCAGUAAAUAAGGAGGUAGAAACGUGCAACCUCCGUGAUGAAUCUCUCGAAGCCCUCAGAUUAAUCUGCGAUAAGGUAAUUGUCUGUGGCGGCGUUCUGAAAGUUCCUCUGACCAAGGAGCUCCUGGCCUCUGCUGCUUCAUCGAGGUCACAAUACAGGCUAUACCUUGAUAGUGAGCGGAAAAAAAGGAGAAUGCCACACAGGAGCUGAAGAGGAAAGCAGCAGAGAAAGAGCUGGAGGACCUCCGGAACCGGCGGCAGGUACUCCACAGUGUGUGCCAUUCACUCCAAAAUGACGCCGACAAAUAUGCAGAGAUGGCCGAGGGAAAGGCAGGAACAAAGAUGGCUGAGCUCAUCACAAAAUCAAACACUUUUCGGAGAAGACACAGGGGAAAAAAAGCAGAACUUCUCCAAGUGGAUAAAAUGAUUGAAGAAAAGGCCACACAGUUGAGGCACUUGUGACCCUGCUGGCUAACUGUUGUUUAAGUUCUCUCUCUCUCUCUCUCGGACAGUUUUUGCGUCCAGUUGAAGUUAAAGUUAUUUCUUUGUUAAUAAGAUAUUGUAAUUACAGUGAAAGUUGCACUUUAUUAUUAUCUAGUUUAUUCUUUUUUUUCAAGGCCCUAAUUUAACCACUUGAAAUUAGUUUUUGUUAUGCAAUUGUUACUUUUUGACAUUUUGAGUAAAAACUAUGGACCAAG
Eleginops maclovinus (Patagonian blennie) is the source of this 1144-nucleotide long non-coding RNA. RefSeq lists it as uncharacterized. The transcript is spliced from 2 exons. The record is from RefSeq and is a predicted model, not a curated record. NCBI's taxonomy places the organism in Eukaryota, Metazoa, Chordata, Actinopteri, Perciformes, Eleginopidae.